GGAGCUAAUCCCUUAAAGCUACUCUCAGUUCGGAUUGUAGGCUGAAACUCGCCUACAUGAAGCUGGAGUUACUAGUAAUCGCAGAUCAGAAUGCUGCGGUGAAUGCGUUCCCGGGUCUUGUACACACCGCCCGUCACACCACGGGAGUUGGAGACGCCCGAAGCCGAUUAUCUAACCUUUUGGAAGAAGUCGUCGAAGGGGGAAUCAAUAACUGGGGUGAAGUCGUAACAAGGUAGCCGUAUCGGAAGGUGCGGCUGGAUCACCUCCUUUCUAAGGAGA
RNAcentral lists this ribosomal RNA (279 nucleotides) under Clostridioides difficile. RNAcentral describes it as "partial 16S ribosomal RNA". It matches the Rfam family "Bacterial small subunit ribosomal RNA", at positions 1264 to 1533 of the family's 1533-position model. Lineage: Bacteria; Bacillati; Bacillota; Clostridia; Peptostreptococcales; Peptostreptococcaceae. The record is from RNAcentral.